Molecule: long non-coding RNA, 889 nt
Organism: Mauremys reevesii (Reeves's turtle)
Lineage: Eukaryota; Metazoa; Chordata; Testudines; Geoemydidae
Exons: 5
Source: RefSeq, a predicted model, not a curated record
CCCAGAAGGGUUUGGACUGUGUGAUCCUGGCCAGAGGGCUGAGCCAGUAAUGACCUGCAGAGGCAGGCUGAGAGCUGAAGAGAUUGGUGCACUGUGCUUGGUCUCCGGGGGAGCUCAAGGAGGCUAAGGACAUAUCAGUUGGAGGCAACAGAGGAUGAGAGAGACCUAGGUGCAUUGUCCAAACACAGGAUGACUACGAGCUGCUACUGUGAUGUGGCCAUAAAAAAAAGGCUAAUGCAAUCCUAGGAUGCAUCCUGUGAGGCCAACUCCUGGGAUGCACUUUCAGGGCCUGGUUGCAGAUCUUGAUGUGAAAGAUAAACAAUUUGCUAUCCACAAUGACAAUGGAGGCACCUAAUCCAUUGGUCCUGAAUACCAGAAUGCCCCAGACUCCCAGAAUGAAUUGAAAAUUACAACUCCCCAGAAGAUGUCUUCACCCUUCCUUAUCCUCGGUCUCCUCUUGAGUCCAACCUCCUGAGUGUCAUUGUGACACCAGAGGAGGAAACUACCUCAAGGAAAUGGGAAUGUUCCACUCCUCAGUCCAUAGGCAGGAGCUUUUACCCACUGGAACUAAUUGCUCCACCGGUCAAGCAGGAACUAGCCUUCUCCUUGGAGGAGUUGGAGGCUCCAGGCAUUGCUUCACCCCCAGGCAGGCUAUAUCAGAAGCUACUGCAGAGAGCAUCAAAUUACCUCCAGAUUGCACUACAGAAUGUCCAGGAUACCCUCCAUCAACUCUUUGACAGUUUACAAUCUUCUGGUCCCAAUAAAGUGGCCCUCCCAAUAAACAAGGCCAUCAUGGAACCAGCUAGGGUAAGCUCUGGCCUCCUGAACCCCCUACACUGAAAAGGGCUGAGACACACUAUUUUGUACCAGCCAAAGGAGUGGAGUGCCU